Molecule: long non-coding RNA, 399 nt
Organism: Panicum virgatum (switchgrass)
Lineage: Eukaryota; Viridiplantae; Streptophyta; Magnoliopsida; Poales; Poaceae
Exons: 2
Source: RefSeq, a predicted model, not a curated record
GCACGCAGACUUUGAGGUCAUUGGGAUGUCACAGAUGUUCGAUGCUCCUCCAGGCACGCAGACACAGGGGGAAUCUAGCCAGGCCGUGCAGACUCCGGCUCCUCCACGUCAGCAACGUCGUGGCCGUGACCGGACCGACGUUGGUAGCGCCAAUGUUGUGCCCACGGAGCCUGGACGCGCACGACGCCACAAUGAACCGUUUAGCCCUCCAGAGCAACACGGUCGCCGCCGCUAGAAGGCCGCCGUCAACCUAUUCGUAUUUGUAAUGACCCUCGACAUUAGAAUUUGUGAUGGACUAUUUGUGCAUGUGAUGGUCUAGUAGUGCUUGUGAAGGACCAUUUGUGCUUGUGAAGGACUAUUUGUGCUCGUGUUAAACUUACUGUGCUUCUAGCUUUGUGA